Molecule: transfer RNA, 76 nt
Filed under: Gammaproteobacteria bacterium
Lineage: Bacteria; Pseudomonadati; Pseudomonadota; Gammaproteobacteria
Description: tRNA-Glu
Rfam family: tRNA
About the family: Transfer RNA (tRNA) molecules are approximately 80 nucleotides in length. Their secondary structure includes four short double-helical elements and three loops (D, anti-codon, and T loops).
Source: RNAcentral
GACCCCUUGGUUUAGCCGGUGAAAACACUGCCCUUUCAAGGCAGAGAAAGGGGUUCGAGUCCCCUGGGGGUCACCA